GAUGAACGCUGGCGGCGUGCCUAAUACAUGCAAGUCGAGCGAACAGACGAGGAGCUUGCUCCUCUGACGUUAGCGGCGGACGGGUGAGUAACACGUGGAUAACCUACCUAUAAGACUGGGAUAACUUCGGGAAACCGGAGCUAAUACCGGAUAAUAUAUUGAACCGCAUGGUUCAAUAGUGAAAGACGGUUUUGCUGUCACUUAUAGAUGGAUCCGCGCCGCAUUAGCUAGUUGGUAAGGUAACGGCUUACCAAGGCAACGAUGCGUAGCCGACCUGAGAGGGUGAUCGGCCACACUGGAGCUGAGACACGGUCCAGACUCCUACGGGAGGCAGCAGUAGGGAAUCUUCCGCAAUGGGCGAAAGCCUGACGGAGCAACGCCGCGUGAGUGAUGAAGGUCUUCGGAUCGUAAAACUCUGUUAUUAGGGAAGAACAAAUGUGUAAGUAACUAUGCACGUCUUGACGGUACCUAAUCAGAAAGCCACGGCUAACUACGUGC
Molecule: ribosomal RNA, 498 nt
Filed under: uncultured bacterium
Lineage: Bacteria
Description: partial 16S ribosomal RNA
Rfam family: Bacterial small subunit ribosomal RNA
Source: RNAcentral